ACAAACCAGGCAACUUUGGAUGUCAAGUUCUCCUCCAUCAGCUUUUCUUGAAUUAAGAAAUUCACGCUGAACUAGUGACUUGUUCGCCAAGGUUAAAGCAAUACAUUUAUGUAGGGAGAAAUUUUGAACAAUAGUGGAUGAUUAUCUUCUAAUCUGUCGAAGAAUUAAUUCGCGCGCCGAACCCUACGGUAUCAGGCUAAUUUUAUUAAUCAUCUGCAAAAGAAAGCCAUAAUACCUUCAUCUGGUUAACAUUAAUAUUUCCUAUCAAUUAUGUAAUGCAUUGUUUAAGUGCUACAUGCAUGCAGGAAAAAGGAACGCGCUACGUCACGUUCAUGCAAAAGAAAGUCGAGAAACAAGUGCCAUCAGAUUUCGGAAAUACAUUUGGUUCUUAAAACUAUUUCAGUGUCCACGGCGCGUCAGUAGUCCAACGGUCAGGAUAAUUGCCUUCCAAGCAAUAGAUCCGGGUUCGACUCCCGGCUGACGCAGCUCAUGUCACGAUGUCUUGCUUCAUGCACACGAAAGUGUUUUUUCGAAGACGAGCUAAGACUGCUCCAUGCACUGGAAAAUAUUAGAAAAUUUGUUUUUCAAUUAUAUCAUUACUCCAUGCACAUGAAAAUAUUUUUUGAAGACGAGCUAAGACUAGUAAUGAAUUGCAUAGAAUAUCUUCUUCUUGGUCUUAUACUUCUACCGGCAAGAAAGCAUGAUACAGCAGCCGUGACGAGCUAAGGCAAGUAACGAAUUGCAGGAUAUCUUCUUCUUCUUCUUCUUCGUCUUCUACUUCUCCCGGCAAGAAAGCAUGAUACAGCAGCCGACAUCAGGGACAUGGCCACCCAACUAAAGUCAUCAAAAAUAGCUGCAAAACGCAUUUCUUGAAGUUGCCAUAUAGUUGAAAUGCAGAAACUCACCCCAUCAAGAAUCGCCGUCAAAUAACCCAUGAAUUUUAUUGAUUUACUGCCCACCCACAGUAAACUUGUGGCUAUCUAACAUUAAUUAAUUGGACUGCAUUAGGCUCACAGUAGAAUCAAUGGAUACAAGUAGUAGAAUCAGUGGAUACAAGUACUUGGACGAGGAAAUAGCGC
RNAcentral lists this long non-coding RNA (1079 nucleotides) under Coffea arabica (coffee). RNAcentral describes it as "long non-coding RNA (CARA_LNC001642)". The stretch from base 414 to 485 matches the Rfam family "tRNA". Lineage: Eukaryota; Viridiplantae; Streptophyta; Magnoliopsida; Gentianales; Rubiaceae. The record is from RNAcentral.